RNAcentral lists this unclassified non-coding RNA (374 nucleotides) under Zea mays. RNAcentral describes it as "misc RNA Zm00001eb350720". Lineage: Eukaryota; Viridiplantae; Streptophyta; Magnoliopsida; Poales; Poaceae. The record is from RNAcentral.
UUCCAGUAAAUACAAGUAAAACCCCCAAAUCCUCAAAUCAGGCAUGGAGAUUCCAGAACCAUGAGCUUGCCUCCAAGAACAGUCAUGCAAGGGAUUCUCAAUUUCUCGUUCCUCCAACUAUGUUGUCAAGUAUAUUUGUCACAGAUCUGUACUUCUCACCAUGGUACAACAGCUAUAAACUUGGGAAACUACACAGAAUGUGAAGCCUGUUCUGCAGACCGCAUAACUGGAAGAGGAUGGGCCUCUGUAUUGAACACAUACUUAUCUAGGGGAAGGGUAUUGUUUUCAUCAAACAGUAAAUACAAAUACUUCAAUGUUUCUCCAAGAAAGAAAGUUUCCAUUUUAUCUCUCGUGGAAGGAGGUAGGCUUGUGAC